CCUACGGGUGGCAGCAGUGAGGAAUAUUGGUCAAUGGGCGCGAGCCUGAACCAGCCAAGUAGCGUGAAGGAUGACGGCACUACGGGUCGUAAACUUCUUUUAUAAAGGAACAAAGUGAGGCACGCGUGCCUUGUUGAGUGUACUUUAUGAAUAAGCAUCGGCUAACUCCGUGCCAGCAGCCGCGGUAAUACGGAGGAUCCGAGCGUUAUCCGGAUUUAUUGGGUUUAAAGGGAGCGUAGGUGGGUUGUUAAGUCAGUUGUGAAAGUUUGCGGCUCAACCGUAAAAUUGCAAUUGAUACUGGCAGUCUUGAGUACAGUUGAGGUAGGCGGAAUUCGUGGUGUAGCGGUGAAAUGCUUAGAUAUCACGAAGAACUCCGAUUGCGAAGGCAGCUUACUAAACUGCAACUGACGUUGAUGCUCGAAAGUGUGGGUAUCAAACAGGAUUAGAUACCCCAGUAGUC
This 460-nucleotide ribosomal RNA is filed under the name uncultured bacterium. RNAcentral's name for it is "partial 16S ribosomal RNA". It matches the Rfam family "Bacterial small subunit ribosomal RNA", at positions 338 to 795 of the family's 1533-position model. The record is from RNAcentral.